This 492-nucleotide ribosomal RNA is filed under the name uncultured bacterium. RNAcentral describes it as "bacterial SSU rRNA". It matches the Rfam family "Bacterial small subunit ribosomal RNA", at positions 21 to 507 of the family's 1533-position model. The record is from RNAcentral.
GGCUCAGGAUGAACGCUAGCGGCAGGCUUAAUACAUGCAAGUCGUGGGGCAGCAUGAGUAGCAAUACUUGAUGGCGACCGGCAAACGGGUGAGGAACACGUACACAACCUUCCUUCAAGCGGGGAAUAGCCCAGAGAAAUUUGGAUUAAUACCCCAUAAUAUAUUUGAUAAGGCAUCUUAUUAAUAUUAAAGCUUCGGCACUUGAUGAUGGGUGUGCGGCUGAUUAGAUAGUUGGCGGGGUAACGGCCCACCAAGUCUACGAUCAGUAGCUGAUGUGAGAGCAUGAUCAGCCACACGGGCACUGAGACACGGGCCCGACUCCUACGGGAGGCAGCAGUAAGGAAUAUUGGGCAAUGGACGAAAGUCUGAUCCAGCCAUGCCGCGUGAAGGAUUAAGGUCCUCCGGAUUGUAAACUUCUUUUAUAUGGGACGAAAAAAGGGCAUUCUUGUUCACUUGACGGUACCAUAUGAAUAAGCACCGGCUAACUCCGUG